GACGAACGCUGGCGGCGUGCUUAAAACAUGCAAGUCGAACGGUAAGGCCCUUCGGGGUACACGAGUGGCGAACGGGUGAGUAACACGUGGGUGAUCUGCCCUGCACUUCGGGAUAAGCCGGGGCAACUGGGUCUAAUACCGGAUCGGACUACGGACUGCCUGGUCCGGGGUGGAAAGAUUGUGCGGGGUGGGAUGGGCCUGCGGCCUAUGCGCUUGUUGGGGGGGUGGUGGGCUACGAAGGCGACGACGGGUAGCCGGGCUGAGAGGGUGACCGGCCACACUGGGACUGAGAUACGGCCCAGACUCCUACGGGAGGCAGCAGUGGGGAAUAUUGCACAAUGGGCGCAAGCCUGAUGCAGCGACGCCGCGUGAGGGAUGACGGCCUUCGGGUUGUAAACCUCUUUCAGCAUCGACGAAGCGAAAGUGACGGUAGGUGCAGAAGAAGGACCGGCCAACUACGUGCCAGCCGCCGCCGUAA
RNAcentral lists this ribosomal RNA (478 nucleotides) under uncultured bacterium. Its description in RNAcentral is "partial 16S ribosomal RNA". It matches the Rfam family "Bacterial small subunit ribosomal RNA", at positions 28 to 523 of the family's 1533-position model. The record is from RNAcentral.